CCUACGGGAGGCAGCAGUGGGGGAUAUUGGACAAUGGGGGGAACCCUGAUCCAGCGACGCCGCGUGAGUGAAGAAGGAUCUCGGUAUGUAAAGCUCUAUUAGUAGGGAAGAAGAAAUGACGGUACCUGAGUAAGAAGCUCCGCCUAACUACGUGCCAGCAGCCGCGGUAAUACGUAGGGGGCAGGCGUUAUCCGGAAUUACUGGGUGUAAAGGGAGCGUAGACGGUGAUGUAAGGCUGGAGUGAAAGGCUGGGGCCCAACCCCCGGACUGCAGUGGAAACUAUAAGACUGGAGUGCAGGAGAGGUGAGCGGAAUUCCUAGUGUAGCGGUGAAAUGCGUAGAUAUAAGGAGGAACACCAGUGGCGAAGGCGGCUCACUGGACUGUAACUGACGUUGAGGCUCGAAAGCGUGGGGAUCAAACAGGAUUAGAUACCCCAGUAGUC
Molecule: ribosomal RNA, 442 nt
Filed under: uncultured bacterium
Lineage: Bacteria
Description: partial 16S ribosomal RNA
Rfam family: Bacterial small subunit ribosomal RNA
Source: RNAcentral